AGCAGGAGCAGAAGCAGAAGCAGCAUCAGAAUCAGCAUCAAUGUUGGCUUUCAAUCCCUGGACUAAUUUUUAGCAGUUAAGUUUAUCUAUCUUACUAUCACUACUGCUACUUAUAGAUAUACAUAUGUAGUAUUGAUUUGUUCAUAUGUAGCUGCUUAUUAAGAUCAGUCCUGUAUAUAUAUGCUAGUGUUUUGUGAUUGAUCCGAUGAGCAUCGAUUUACUGGAAAUUAAAUAACUACACUUGCUAGGGUUCUACUGGAAUUCAACUUUCAGUAUUAGGUUUCCAAAUUAAAACUUUUUCAGUGCUUAAUCUAUUAGACUAUAUGUGUGGUCCAAAAUCUAUGGUGGGCGAGGCUAAUUUUAUUUAGGCUUCAUUACCCUUUUCAUUAUGUAUGGCAACCUAAAGCAUCUCAUUUUCAAGUACAUGAACUGAUAAUCAAGAGAUUUAGGGUUGUUCUAUUCUUUGGAGAAAUAUUAUUAUAGGAUUAAUAUGUUAGAGGAUGUGAUUCUGAUUGACUAAAAGACUUUACUACUAACAACCCUUCCUUUCUUUUAGGUUGAGGAUUAAACUCUGAGAAGAAACUGAAACUUUAAUAAUUACUUUGUCCCUAAAGUUUUGACUUUUUAAAACUUCUCUUUGAUUCAAAACUGAUAUGAAUUCAUUUGAUCUUAAACAAUACUAUUAUGAAUGUUUAUAAACUAUUAGAAAAUGUUUUUUCUGUUGAUAGGUUAGAUUCUCGAUUGAACGUUAGGAAACCCUCCCAAAAAUGGAGUAUUUCCCCUAUAUCCCAGUGCCUCGACUAGUGCUUUUCCUAAGUGGCGGAUAUUUUGUUUAGGCUUUUACUCAUAUGUAUUCCUCUCUUUGAGUGUGCUAGUAAUAAGCUGGGCAAGUAAAAUCCAUAAAGGCGAGGUAAUUAUUGGAGUUAUUGCUUUCAAAAGUUAUAAUGAAUCGCAUCAAUCUUAAAUUUUAAAAUAUUAAAAAUUCAAAAUUUCUUUUAAUAACUCUUUGACUUUUGAUCUUUGAUCAUCAAAGUGGUGACACCAUUUUAUGUCCCUAAUCAAGAAGCAUGAAAGUCUGUGUUUUCAGAAUUUAUGGUACUUUUCAGUUCCUGUUUUCUGUGUUACUCUCGCGGUUAUCUUUUCUAUAUCAUUUUCUUUUGUGAAUUAUGCCAGAAAGUGUGUGGUCAAUGUGUUUAUAUAAAUGAUUUCUUAAGAUUUCCAAGUUUUUACAUAGGCUGGCAUCAAUAUUUUGUGCCCUUGAGCUAAAUUAUGAGUCAACAACACAUGCCCUCAUAUUCUAUACCUAAAUAUUUUCAUCUUUACUUAUUUUUUUUGUUAUUUUUUUUAUUUUUAGAAAAGUAAAAUUUUGAGUUGCUUCCUCUUCUUUAAGAUUUUGGUUUGAGGAAGGAGAAGGGCAACUCCAAAUAGAACUACUCGUAUGUGUCUUACCAUACCCUUCGUUAAAACGACAUUUUGUUUCUCUUAUUAAUUUGAUUACGAAAUGAUCAGUUUAUAGUUGUCAUCAAACUGUUGUGAAUCGGUAAAUAAAUUGGUUGUACAUCAGUUUUAUUUUAAUGAGUCCCAUGAUCACUAUCGAUGGGAAUUCGAAACAAUAUACAAUUUUUUGUUUGUAGGUGGCACCAGGAUGCUUACCAAAGCUUCUAACUUAUUUGAAAGGAAUCAUUGUUUUGCCACUUGAAUUCUGUAAAAUUACAGAAAAUUUGUCAUGCUUUCCAAUGUGUAUCUGUCCGCAUGCAAAUGUUAUUAGUGUUUGAUUGAUGUGAGAAACAGUAUGAGAGAGCUUCCUUCAGCCCACUCAUGGAAAUGAUAAAGGGGUUGAAUUAGCUGCCGACUCAUUCAUUUAACCACCUAGUAGAAAAGGACAAGUGUUGUGCUACUGUGACUGAGUGAAUGAAGCGGGAGAUAGUUUUCUAUCCUUCCUCCUCUGUGCUUGGACUGAAGGGAGCUCCCUUUUUCUGUUGCCCGCUUUCAUUUUUAUCUUUUUUCUCCCCUUCCUCUUGUAUAAAUUUUUAUCAGUAGCUAUCAACAGAUAUAAAUAACUUGAGAUAUAUGCUGAAACUUUUUCAUUAUAUUUUGCAGCGGAAUCUGCUUAUGCUCUUGUUUGAUUUCUUUGAAGAGGCAACAGUUUCUCUAUUUUUAUUUUUAAUCAAUUUAUUAUUAUCAUAUUUUUUCUUCAUUCUUUGAAUAUUCAUUCUUCCACACAUACCUUCUUUCCCUCCUCCAUACCCUUCAGAUAUUUUUAACAAUGCUUUUUCUAAUUUUUUUUAAUUUUGCCUCCGACUGUAGUCCUUGAAUAAUAAAUGUUUAGUUAAUCACAAGUUAAAUCUUUAUAAUAAAUCAGCAUCAUAGCAUGGUCAUAUUAGAUAGAAUGAUAUUUUUUUUUUCCCUGAUUACUAUGAAUGCUACAAAUGUAACUUUCCGUGGUUUUACCAAUUAGGAAGAGCAAAACCUAACCUUUUGGUUUUUCAGACUAUUUUAUUUGUUUAUUUUGGUAGAAGUUCAUUUAGGUUUAGCUCAACUGGUAAAGGCAUUCAAGGGAAACAUUGAGGUUGCUAUUUCCCCUAGAGGACAAGCUGCGAUAGUAGUUACCUGUGAUUGAAAUCCUUGGUACGAACCAAUAUGCAACAUGGAUAUAUCAGUGAGGUUAGCACAUUGUGAACUGUGUUGAUUCCCUCUCCUCCACAAAAAGAGUCUCAUAUGUAAAAAAAGAAUAUUCUUUUUAUUGAUAGUAAUAUAAAAUGACACAAUAUCCUUGAGUUUUUCAUCAUAUUUUAUGAUCAUGACAACAUUAUUUAAAUAACAAAAUUGUUACUUGUAGGGAUAAAAUGGACAAGAAGACAUCCUUAAUAUUUUGCAAGUGGAACUCUUUUGUUGGAAUGGAGGGAGUAUAAAGCAGUUGCAAUUUUACUCUCUUGUUUUUUUAGCUUACUUAAUUAGACUAUUUGAUUGGUUUUUGACCUAGAGUUGUGUCUAUAUUGAAUAAUUUAGUCUGAAGAAUUUAUUUUAAUUAAUGAUAUUUAUGUUCAUAGUUAGUGCAAAAAGUAGUGUAGUAUCAGUCUAUGGAUAAGUUAAACCCUUCAUCUGCUUAUGUGCUGUUGGACAUUAUGGUUUUGUAAUACUACUAUUCUAAGAUUAGCUUUCCAUUAGAUGAGUUUCUUCUCUGUUCUGUUUUUUUUUAUGAGAGUUGCAAUAAUUAGUGGUGGAUGGUUGUUGGGGGAUGUGAUUUUGCCAAAUUUGGAGUGGUGAAAGUAAGUUGUUAAAUCCCUGUUUUGGAAAUGAGCAUUUUGUUUUAAUUAUUUAAAGUAAUAUGCAUGCAUGCAUGCAUGCAUUUGAUGGAGGGAGGGUGGACAAUUUGUAGGAUUAAGAAUCUUUUUGUAGUAUAAAAUAAGAGAAGGAAGAGAUGUCAGAUUGAUUGUUUUAAUGUGGUCCCAAUUCGUUUGUUUUGCUGUAUUACUAGAAUACUAGUAUAUAAAUUAAUUAAUUAUAUAUACCUCCCUUUCAGAGCUAGGUAUUGUGUGCCUGUUCAAGUCCCCCUCCCCCCCUUCAGAAGAUGGUGGGCCUGGCUGGUAUACUAAAAUAUAUACAGACUAAAAUAAAAUUAAUUUAGAUGAGGAUCAAAUGAUGGUUCCUGUAAAUUCUAUAUAUAUAUAUAUAUGUUCCAUGAAAUGAAA
RNAcentral lists this long non-coding RNA (3692 nucleotides) under Panax ginseng (ginseng). RNAcentral describes it as "long non-coding RNA (PGIN_LNC006400)". The stretch from base 1787 to 1983 matches the Rfam family "MIR159 microRNA precursor family". Lineage: Eukaryota; Viridiplantae; Streptophyta; Magnoliopsida; Apiales; Araliaceae. The record is from RNAcentral.